UCGAACGGCAGCACGGACUUCGGUCUGGUGGCGAGUGGCGAACGGGUGAGUAAUAUAUCGGAACGUAUCCAUAAUGGGGGAUAACUAAUCGAAAGGUUGGCUAAUACCGCAUACGCCCUACGGGGGAAAGCUAGGGAUCUUCGGACCUGGCGUUAAUGGAGCGGCCGAUAUCUGAUUAGCUAGUUGGUGGGGUAAAGGCCCACCAAGGCGACGAUCAGUAGCUGGUCUGAGAGGACGACCAGCCACACUGGAACUGAGACACGGUCCAGACUCCUACGGGAGGCAGCAGUGGGGAAUUUUGGACAAUGGGCGCAAGCCUGAUCCAGCCAUUCCGCGUGAGUGAGGAAGGCCUUCGGGUUGUAAAGCUCUUUCGCAAGGGAAGAAAACUUAUCCUCUAACAUAGGAUGAGGUUGACGGUACCUUGAUAAGAAGCACCGGCUAACUCCGUG
RNAcentral lists this ribosomal RNA (449 nucleotides) under uncultured bacterium. RNAcentral's name for it is "bacterial SSU rRNA". It matches the Rfam family "Bacterial small subunit ribosomal RNA", at positions 62 to 507 of the family's 1533-position model. The record is from RNAcentral.